RNAcentral lists this ribosomal RNA (253 nucleotides) under uncultured bacterium. Its description in RNAcentral is "partial 16S ribosomal RNA". It matches the Rfam family "Bacterial small subunit ribosomal RNA", at positions 524 to 776 of the family's 1533-position model. The record is from RNAcentral.
UACGUAGGGUGCAAGCGUUGUCCGGAAUUAUUGGGCGUAAAGAGCUCGUAGGCGGUCUGUCGCGUCGGCUGUGAAAACCCGAGGCUCAACCUCGGGCCUGCAGUCGAUACGGGCAGACUAGAGUUCGGCAGGGGAGACUGGAAUUCCUGGUGUAGCGGUGAAAUGCGCAGAUAUCAGGAGGAGCACCGGUGGCGAAGGCGGGUCUCUGGGCCGACACUGACGCUGAGGAGCGAAAGCGUGGGGAGCGAACAGG